This 79-nucleotide transfer RNA is filed under the name Haplodiplatys aotouensis. RNAcentral describes it as "tRNA-Trp". Lineage: Eukaryota; Metazoa; Arthropoda; Insecta; Dermaptera; Haplodiplatyidae. The record is from RNAcentral.
AGGGCUUUAAGUUAAUUAAACUGCUAGUUUUCAAAACUGGUAAUAUGACGAUUUUACUAUUAUUAUGUUUUAAGUCUUG